UUUUAUGUUGGGGUAAAUUAUAUUAAAAAUCUGAUUAUGAUUAAUUAUCUAAUUAAUUUUAUGAUAAGAAUAAAUUUAAAUUUAUAAAUAAACGGUAAAAUUCAAAUAAAUGAUUUGAUCAAUCCGGAAGCAUGCAUAGCAGUGUUUUAAGGCAUAUUCCCGUUCUUCUUACGGAAUUAAUUAUGAAUACCACCCCAAGGUGCGACGAAAAUUUCUCUCCCUACGAGUAUGAACGCAGAAGAGAUUGAUGGAGAAACUUUUAACACUCGGCGAUAAAGAAAGAUCAAUCAAAGUAAAAGAAAAUAGGAGAUGAAAUAAACGUAAAACAAAUUUUCUUUUAAUCCUUUAUUUUUUGUUUUUCUUCUCUACCAUAGAGGUGGGAGUUGAACAGUGCUAAAACCACUUAUAUAGAAAAUAAAAUAAUAAAUAAAUAUUAAUUAAUUAAAAUAAUAAAUGAUAAUAAAUAAGCUAAUAAAUUAAUAAUGAUAAUAAUAAUAAUAAUAAUAAUAAUAAUAAUAAUAAUAAUAAAGGAAGUAAUUAGGAAAUUUUGGAUUUUUCACCAACAUUUUAAUGUAUA
RNAcentral lists this long non-coding RNA (577 nucleotides) under Ananas comosus (pineapple). Its description in RNAcentral is "long non-coding RNA (ACOM_LNC014100)". Lineage: Eukaryota; Viridiplantae; Streptophyta; Magnoliopsida; Poales; Bromeliaceae. The record is from RNAcentral.